CUCCGUUUUUGGCAAUGGUAGAACUCGCACUGGUGAGGUAAUGGGACCGGUGGUUCUAGACUUGCCAACUACGGCG
Non-coding RNA from Pteropus alecto (black flying fox), 76 nucleotides. The record is from Rfam. NCBI's taxonomy places the organism in Eukaryota, Metazoa, Chordata, Mammalia, Chiroptera, Pteropodidae.